Molecule: ribosomal RNA, 468 nt
Filed under: uncultured bacterium
Lineage: Bacteria
Description: partial 16S ribosomal RNA
Rfam family: Bacterial small subunit ribosomal RNA
Source: RNAcentral
GACGAACGCUGGCGGCGUGCUUAACACAUGCAAGUCGAACGGAAAGGCCCUGCUUUUGUGGGGUGCUCGAGUGGCGAACGGGUGAGUAACACGUGAGUAACCUGCCCUUGACUUUGGGAUAACUUCAGGAAACUGGGGCUAAUACCGGAUAGGAGCUCCUGCUGCAUGGUGGGGGUUGGAAAGUUUCGGCGGCUGGGGAUGGACUCGCGGCUUAUCAGCUUGUUGGUGGGGUAGUGGCUUACCAAGGCUUUGACGGGUAGCCGGCCUGAGAGGGUGACCGGCCACAUUGGGACUGAGAUACGGCCCAGACUCCUACGGGAGGCAGCAGUGGAGAAUAUUGCACAAUGGGCGGAAGCCUGGUGCAGCAACUCCGCGUGCGGGAUGACGGCCUUCGGGUUGUAAACCGCUUUCGCCUGUGACGAAGCGUGAGUGACGGUAAUGGGUAAAGAAGCACCGGCUAACUACGUG